GAUGAACGCUAGCUACAGGCUUAACACAUGCAAGUCGAGGGGCAGCAUUUUAGUUUGCUUGCAAACUGAAGAUGGCGACCGGCGCACGGGUGAGUAACACGUAUCCAACCUGCCGAUAACUCCGGGAUAGCCUUUCGAAAGAAAGAUUAAUACCGGAUAGUAUACGAAUAUCGCAUGAUAUUUUUAUUAAAGAAUUUCGGUUAUCGAUGGGGAUGCGUUCCAUUAGUUUGUUGGCGGGGUAACGGCCCACCAAGACUACGAUGGAUAGGGGUUCUGAGAGGAAGGUCCCCCACAUUGGAACUGAGACACGGUCCAAACUCCUACGGGAGGCAGCAGUGAGGAAUAUUGGUCAAUGGGCGCGAGCCUGAACCAGCCAAGUAGCGUGAAGGAUGAAGGCUCUAUGGGUCGUAAACUUCUUUUAUAUGGGAAUAAAGUUUUCCACGUGUGGAAUUUUGUAUGUACCAUAUGAAUAAGGAUCGGCUAACUCCGUGCCAGCAGCCGCGGUAAUACGGAGGAUCCGAGCGUUAUCCGGAUUUAUUGGGUUUAAAGGGAGCGUAGGUGGAUUGUUAAGUCAGUUGUGAAAGUUUGCGGCUCAACCGUAAAAUUGCAGUUGAAACUGGCAGUCUUGAGUACAGUAGAGGUGGGCGGAAUUCGUGGUGUAGCGGUGAAAUGCUUAGAUAUCACGAAGAACUCCGAUUGCGAAGGCAGCUCACUAGGCUGUCACUGACACUGAUGCUCGAAAGUGUGGGUAUCAAACAGGAUUAGAUACCCUGGUAGUCCACACAGUAAACGAUGAAUACUCGCUGUUUGCGAUAUACAGUAAGCGGCCAAGCGAAAGCAUUAAGUAUUCCACCUGGGGAGUACGCCGGCAACGGUGAAACUCAAAGGAAUUGACGGGGGCCCGCACAAGCGGAGGAACAUGUGGUUUAAUUCGAUGAUACGCGAGGAACCUUACCCGGGCUUAAAUUGCAACAGAAUAUAUUGGAAACAGUAUAGCCGUAAGGCUGUUGUGAAGGUGCUGCAUGGUUGUCGUCAGCUCGUGCCGUGAGGUGUCGGCUUAAGUGCCAUAACGAGCGUAACCCUUAUCUUUAGUUACUAACAGGUUAUGCUGAGGACUCUAGAGAGACUGCCGUCGUAAGAUGUGAGGAAGGUGGGGAUGACGUCAAAUCAGCACGGCCCUUACGUCCGGGGCUACACACGUGUUACAAUGGGGGGUACAGAAGGCGGCUACCUGGUGACAGGAUGCUAAUCCCAAAAACCUCUCUCAGUUCGGAUCGAAGUCUGCAAACCCGACUUCGUGAAAGCUGGAUUCGCUAGUAAUCGCGCGUUCAGCCAUGGCGCGGUGAAUUACGUUUCCCGGGCCCU
RNAcentral lists this ribosomal RNA (1365 nucleotides) under uncultured bacterium. RNAcentral's name for it is "bacterial SSU rRNA". It matches the Rfam family "Bacterial small subunit ribosomal RNA", at positions 28 to 1382 of the family's 1533-position model. The record is from RNAcentral.